GUCUACAGCCAUUGAUGCCAGAAGCUUAGGAGAGUCAGGCCUGGCCAGCACUUUGAUUGGAGACUGCCUGGGAAUACCAGGUGCUGUAGGCU
This is a ribosomal RNA of Cercocebus atys (sooty mangabey), 92 nucleotides long. Lineage: Eukaryota; Metazoa; Chordata; Mammalia; Primates; Cercopithecidae. The record is from Ensembl.